Molecule: long non-coding RNA, 680 nt
Filed under: Mus pahari (shrew mouse)
Lineage: Eukaryota; Metazoa; Chordata; Mammalia; Rodentia; Muridae
Description: predicted gene 12127 (MGP_PahariEiJ_G0002509.1)
Source: RNAcentral
GGGGUGAAAGGACAAGAGGCAAGGAGAGUGCGCAGGUUAAGAUGGAAAAAGACAAGGAUCCUGGGAAAUGUGCAGCUGCCAGCCAACCAGCAACGCCAGGUUAAAAGUUGGGAGUCCUGAAAACACACACACACACACACACACACACACACACACACACACACACACACACACAUUAGGUAACAAAACCAAGACUUGUGACUUUGACUUCAAACUUGACCUUGAGUUCAUCAUACAAUGGACAUAACAGAAGCAGCCAUUUGCAACAGCCUUCUGUGAGUCUCCCUAGUCAGCAGGGUAGAUGAAGGGGGAACAUAUCCCUGUGGAUACAAUUCCCGAGCAGGAUAACCUCUUCUGUCGCCACUCCACAGAGUCAGAACCUUGGGCUGGACCCCUUCAACAUCCUGUUACUGUGUCUGCCUUACACUUUUGCCUCAGUCAAGCUACUCAGACCAGCCUGCUCUCUCUUUUGCUUUCUCAUGUCUGUUACAACUCACAGUUGGUAUUCAAGAAUGUCUGGAGAAGGAAAACACAAAUGAUGGCCGAGUUGUUUUGGAGCCAGGCACAGCCAGACUUCAAACUGCCGGGCGUGGCAUGACAUUGAGCGGGGCAGCUCUUUGCCCUAGCCUCAGAUGCCUCUGCGAAGAGCUGAAGAACAACGUGAAUCUGAACUCUGCGCC